AGGCCCGGCCCGUCCAUAAGGCAAGUAAAGCAUUAUGCUUUAGGCCACAUAAUAUAAAGCAAAAAAAGAGGCCACAUUUUGAAAAGUCUUAACAGUCUAGUGGCUUGACAAUUGUUGAAUAUAUUGAAUCCCUCCCAGUUUCGAGUCUCCAUAGUUGGUUUUUUUGUCAUUUUUUGUUGUGUUAUUAAUUUUUGUUUAUUUUAUUUUAUUUUCAAAGCCAUACUUUUAAAAUUAUGCUUUAGGCCACUGAAAUUCUAGGACCGGCCCUGUUGAUAUGGCUUUCUUUCUCAUGAAGGUGAUAGGUACGUGCAACCUAUCAGUAUUUCCGCGUAAUGAAAU
This 339-nucleotide long non-coding RNA is filed under the name Arabidopsis lyrata. RNAcentral's name for it is "long non-coding RNA (ALYR_LNC000475)". Lineage: Eukaryota; Viridiplantae; Streptophyta; Magnoliopsida; Brassicales; Brassicaceae. The record is from RNAcentral.